AACGAACGCUGGCGGCAUGCCUAACACAUGCAAGUCGAACGAGACCUUCGGGUCUAGUGGCGCACGCGUGCGUAACGCGUGGGAACCUGCCCUUAGGUUCGGAAUACCUCCCCGAAAGGGGUGCUAAUACCGGAUAAUGUCUUCGGACCAAAGAUUUGUUGCCUUGGGAUGGGCCCGCGUUGGAUUAGCUAGUUGGUAGGGUAAAAGCCUACCAAGGCGACGAUCCGUAGCCGGUCUGAGAGGGUGAUCGGCGACAAGGGGACUGAGACACGGCCCUUGCUCAUACGGGAGGCAGGAGUGGGGAAUAUCGGACAAUGGGGGCACCCCUGAUCCAGCAAUUCUGUGUGCACGAAGAAGGUUUUCGGAUUGUAAAGUGCUUUCAGCAGGGAAGAAGAAAGUGACGGUACCUGCAGAAGAAGCGACGGCUAAAUACGUG
RNAcentral lists this ribosomal RNA (436 nucleotides) under uncultured bacterium. Its description in RNAcentral is "partial 16S ribosomal RNA". It matches the Rfam family "Bacterial small subunit ribosomal RNA", at positions 29 to 507 of the family's 1533-position model. The record is from RNAcentral.